AAAGGAAUAGACGGGGACCCGCACAAGCGGUGGAGCAUGUGGUUUAAUUCGAAGCAACGCGAAGAACCUUACCAAAUCUUGACAUCCUUCUGACCGGUCCGUAACGGGAUCUUUCCUUCGGGACAGAAGAGACAGGUGGUGCAUGGUUGUCGUCAGCUCGUGUCGUGAGAUGUUGGGUUAAGUCCCGCAACGAGCGCAACCCUUAUCCCCAGUAGCCAGCAGGUAAAGCUGGGCACUCUGAGGAGACUGCCAGGGAGAACCUGGAGGAAGGCGGGGAUGACGUCAAAUCAUCAUGCCCCUUAUGAUUUGGGCUACACACGUGCUACAAUGGCGUGAACAGAGGGAAGCAGAGCCGCGAGGCCGAGCGAAUCUCAAAAAACGCGUCCCAGUUCGGACUGUAGUCUGCAACCCGACUACACGAAGCUGGAAUCGCUAGUAAUCGCAGAUCAGAAUGCUGCGGUGAAUACGUUCCCGGGUCUUGUACACACCGCCCGU
Molecule: ribosomal RNA, 495 nt
Filed under: uncultured bacterium
Lineage: Bacteria
Description: bacterial SSU rRNA
Rfam family: Bacterial small subunit ribosomal RNA
Source: RNAcentral